UGCCAGAAGUGGGACUGCCAUUUCAGGCUCAUAACCUGAAGGUCACAGGUUCAAAUCCUGUCCCCGCAA
RNAcentral lists this transfer RNA (69 nucleotides) under Paracoccus amoyensis. Its description in RNAcentral is "Paracoccus sp. 11-3 tRNA-Met". The stretch from base 6 to 62 matches the Rfam family "tRNA", at positions 7 to 64 of the family's 71-position model. From Rfam's summary of the family: Transfer RNA (tRNA) molecules are approximately 80 nucleotides in length. Lineage: Bacteria; Pseudomonadati; Pseudomonadota; Alphaproteobacteria; Rhodobacterales; Paracoccaceae. The record is from RNAcentral.